UACGGGGGGGGGCAAGCGUUGUUCGGAAUUACUGGGCGUAAAGGCGCGUAGGCGGCCCGCUAAGUCGAACGUGAAAUCCCCCAGGCUCAACCUGGGAACUGCGUCCGAUACUGGCAGGCUUGAAUCCGGGAGAGGGAUGUGGAAUUCCAGGUGUAGCGGUGAAAUGCGUAGAUAUCUGGAGGAACACCGGUGGCGAAGGCGGCA
RNAcentral lists this ribosomal RNA (204 nucleotides) under uncultured bacterium. RNAcentral describes it as "partial 16S ribosomal RNA". It matches the Rfam family "Bacterial small subunit ribosomal RNA", at positions 524 to 726 of the family's 1533-position model. The record is from RNAcentral.